UACGAAGGGGGCUAGCGUUGUUCGGAAUUACUGGGCGUAAAGGGCGCGUAGGCUGUGCUGCAAGUCAGGCGUGAAAGGCCCGGGCUCAACCUGGGAACUGCGCAUGAUACUGCGGCGCUUGAAGACGGGAGAGGAUGGCGGAAUUCCCAGUGUAGAGGUGAAAUUCGUAGAUAUUGGGAAGAACACCGGUGGCGAAGGCGGCCAUCUGGCCCGUGAUUGACGCUGAGGCGCGAAAGCGUGGGGAGCAAACAGG
This 253-nucleotide non-coding RNA is filed under the name uncultured bacterium. RNAcentral describes it as "partial 16S ribosomal RNA". It matches the Rfam family "Bacterial small subunit ribosomal RNA", at positions 524 to 776 of the family's 1533-position model. RNAcentral also lists the same sequence under 2 other names. The record is from RNAcentral.